RNAcentral lists this long non-coding RNA (392 nucleotides) under Elaeis guineensis (African oil palm). Its description in RNAcentral is "long non-coding RNA (EGUI_LNC023958)". The record is from RNAcentral. Lineage: Eukaryota; Viridiplantae; Streptophyta; Magnoliopsida; Arecales; Arecaceae.
CAUCAGAAGGAGCUAUUCAUCGCCGCCGAGGGAAUGUACACGGGCCAGUUCGUCUACUGCGGCCGCAAGGCCUCCCUCAUUGUCGGCAACGUCCUCCCCCUCCGCUCCAUCCCCGAGGGUGCCGUUGUCUGCAACGUCGAGCACCACGUCGGCGACCGCGGCGUCCUCGCCCGCGCCUCCGGCGACUACGCCAUUGUCAUCAGCCACAACCCCGACAACGGCACGACCAGGUCUCCACACUCUCCAACCAUCCCUUUUCUUCUUUAUUUAAUUGCUUCUGUUUUGAUGCUGGGUUUCUUGAUCUAGGUUUAAGGUUUUGGUUUUUGGUUCCGGAGGUGGCCGAUCUGGUCCCCUCUUUGGGUCCAAGAGGAUAGAUCCUUGAUUAGACAAAA